RNAcentral lists this ribosomal RNA (466 nucleotides) under Vreelandella stevensii. Its description in RNAcentral is "partial 16S ribosomal RNA". It matches the Rfam family "Bacterial small subunit ribosomal RNA", at positions 338 to 795 of the family's 1533-position model. Lineage: Bacteria; Pseudomonadati; Pseudomonadota; Gammaproteobacteria; Oceanospirillales; Halomonadaceae. The record is from RNAcentral.
CCUACGGUGGGGCAGCAGUGGGGAAUAUUGGACAAUGGGGGGAACCCUGAUCCAGCCAUGCCGCGUGUGUGAAGAAGGCCCUCGGGUUGUAAAGCACUUUCAGUGAGGAAGAACGCCUGGUGGUUAAUACCCAUCAGGAAAGACAUCACUCACAGAAGAAGCACCGGCUAACUCCGUGCCAGCAGCCGCGGUAAUACGGAGGGUGCGAGCGUUAAUCGGAAUUACUGGGCGUAAAGCGCGCGUAGGUGGCUUGAUAAGCCGGUUGUGAAAGCCCCGGGCUCAACCUGGGAACGGCAUCCGGAACUGUCAAGCUAGAGUGCAGGAGAGGAAGGUAGAAUUCCCGGUGUAGCGGUGAAAUGCGUAGAGAUCGGGAGGAAUACCAGUGGCGAAGGCGGCCUUCUGGACUGACACUGACACUGAGGUGCGAAAGCGUGGGUAGCAAACAGGAUUAGAUACCCCUGUAGUC